Molecule: ribosomal RNA, 487 nt
Filed under: uncultured organism
Description: bacterial SSU rRNA
Rfam family: Bacterial small subunit ribosomal RNA
Source: RNAcentral
GAUGAACGCUAGCGAUAGGCCUAACACAUGCAAGUCGAGGGGCAGCAUAGAGUAGCAAUACUUUGAUGGCGACCGGCGCACGGGUGAGUAACACGUAUGCAACCUACCUACAUCAGGGGAAUAACCCGGAGAAAUUCGGACUAAUACCGCAUAAUACAGGGAUGCCGCAUGGCAAUAUUUGUUAAAGAUUUAUCGGAUGUAGAUGGGCAUGCGUUCCAUUAGCUGGUUGGUAAGGUAACGGCUUACCAAGGCAACGAUGGAUAGGGGAACUGAGAGGUUUGUCCCCCACACUGGAACUGAGACACGGACCAGACUCCUACGGGAGGCAGCAGUGAGGAAUAUUGGUCAAUGGACGAGAGUCUGAACCAGCCAAAUCGCGUGAAGGAAGACUGCCCUACGGGUUGUAAACUUCUUUUGUACAGGAAUAAAAGACAUUACGUGUAAUGUAUUGCAUGUACUGUACGAAUAAGCAUCGGCUAACUCCGUG